Molecule: ribosomal RNA, 253 nt
Filed under: uncultured bacterium
Lineage: Bacteria
Description: partial 16S ribosomal RNA
Rfam family: Bacterial small subunit ribosomal RNA
Source: RNAcentral
UACGUAGGUGGCAAGCGUUGUCCGGAUUUACUGGGCGUAAAGAGCGCGCAGGCGGUCGUUCAAGUCGCGUGUGAAAGCCCCCGGCUCAACUGGGGAGGGUCACGCGAUACUGAUCGACUCGAAGGCAGGAGAGGGUAGUGGAAUUCCCGGUGUAGUGGUGAAAUGCGUAGAUAUCGGGAGGAACACCAGUGGCGAAGGCGAAUCCCUGGAAAAUACCUGACACUGAGGCACGAAAGCUAGGGGAGCAAACAGG